AGAAUAAUAGAUAAAGAUCACAGUAAAAACAUUAGAAAGAUCACAGUUUUGAUGAAAACGUGAUAAAGAGAUGUGAGGUGAAUUUUUAAUGUCACUUUGCUAAUAAAACCAUGAUAAUUAAUAUUUAUUAUCACAGUUUUAAUAGAACCGUGAUUAUAACUUUUUAAUUUAACCACAUUUUGCUACAAGCGUAAUAAAAAUGUGUAUUUAACCACAUUUUUCUAUAAGCAUGAUAAAAUGUGUCUAUUGAAAUCACGGUUCGUUACAACCAUGAUAGAACAGUGUCUAUUUUAAAUCACACUUUCUUAUAAGCAUGAUAAAAUGGGUCUAUUUGAACCACACUUCGUUGCAACCGUGAUGAAAUUUUUCUUGUUUGAUAUAACUACAUUUUUUAAAAGCUUGAUUAAAUGUAUUUGCUUAUUUUAAUACACUUUGAUUACAAGCGUGAUAAAUACUUCAUGGGCGCCAACAAGAAACCAAAUUUGAAUCCAUGAAAAUUUGAAAUUAUUAGGGUUUUACUUUCCCCCCAAAAUAGUCAGUCGCCUCUUUUUUAGGUAAAUAUAUAUGGUUGCCCUCUUUCUUCUUGGCCUCCAUACCAUAGAUCUUACACCCCUCUCUCUCAACUUUCAGGAAAACUGAUGUCGCUCAUGGCGUAAUUCCAAGCACAACCCUUCGACCUCCAAUCGGGCACAACCAUAGGCUGAUCUCCACCCGAUCAUCGCGUAAGAGGUGGAGACCUUAAUUAACUAAGCAUGUACGUAGAAGGAUGGAGGAGUACGUACCUACACUUGUGACUUGCCAUGCGAUGCAAACUUUCUGGGUUGAAGAAGAAGUUGCUUGAGUUGUUAUAAUUUUUUUUUUAAAUUAUGUUCUUAUAGCUUUUUAGUUUUGUUUUAGACCCGAGUUAUUGUACUAGUUGAUAUAUAUUGUAAAUGUACCAUACUUUGAAAGAUUGAUGAGUUAAUCAAUAAAUCUUUUCCUUUUUGUAUA
This is a long non-coding RNA of Rhododendron vialii, 990 nucleotides long. RefSeq lists it as uncharacterized. Lineage: Eukaryota; Viridiplantae; Streptophyta; Magnoliopsida; Ericales; Ericaceae. The transcript has 3 exons. The record is from RefSeq and is a predicted model, not a curated record.